UACAGUUGAGUCAAAUUGCUGCCAUGGCAGGGGCUAGCACAGCUGGCUGCCACAGCGAGCUCUAUAGCUCCUGAGCCCCAAGGCCUCUGACCUUGAGGCCUGGAGAUAAGUUUGGCUGUAGAUGUUG
RNAcentral lists this small nucleolar RNA (127 nucleotides) under Dasypus novemcinctus (nine-banded armadillo). Its description in RNAcentral is "Small nucleolar RNA SNORA5 (ENSDNOG00000029401.1)". It matches the Rfam family "Small nucleolar RNA SNORA5". Rfam says of the family: ACA5 is a member of the H/ACA class of snoRNA that guide the sites of modification of uridines to pseudouridines. Lineage: Eukaryota; Metazoa; Chordata; Mammalia; Cingulata; Dasypodidae. The record is from RNAcentral.